RNAcentral lists this transfer RNA (74 nucleotides) under Promethearchaeota archaeon. RNAcentral's name for it is "Candidatus Lokiarchaeota archaeon tRNA-Pro". It matches the Rfam family "tRNA". From Rfam's summary of the family: Transfer RNA (tRNA) molecules are approximately 80 nucleotides in length. Their secondary structure includes four short double-helical elements and three loops (D, anti-codon, and T loops). Lineage: Archaea; Promethearchaeati; Promethearchaeota. The record is from RNAcentral.
GGGAGGGUAGUCUAGCUUGGUAUGAUUCUAGGCUGGGGGCUUAGAGGUCGCGGGUUCGAAUCCCGUCUCUCCCA